GGUCGCAGAGGGUUUAGGGCAGAUGCGGGAUGGAGCGGCUGCCGGUCACGGACGGUCUUGGGAGCUAGCAGAGGAAGGCACGCAGGCUCCACCACCACGUGUGUCCUCUCUGCCGUGUGCCUUCCACGAGUACCUCCAGUGCUGGCUUUAUCCCGGCGUGAACCGGCCGUUGUCUGAUACGCGCGCCGCCCUCCACCGGUUAAAAGUGACGACCGAUUGGAUAGGCCGAGCGGGGUACCUCCACCUGUCGGUAACCCUCCAGUGUCGGCAACGCUCUCCAACCCACCUCCGUGUCGCCCCGAAGUUGCAAGAACGGAGGCCUGCGGGGCCUGCUAGUAGGCACCGAAAAUACCAAGGCGACGGACCUCCGCAAGCAGUGGCUCGCUCCAACCGGAACGAGGGUAACGACGACAGGUACCGCCGGCUCUACCUGUACCGUUUGACGCAUAUACAGCGUAGGAACGGCGCCACUCUACUCGGCUCCGCUCCACACAAAACUUAAAGCCAAACACAAAAAAAAGCAGGAACCGGCUUUACCUGCUUAAAGCCCUUAAAAUU
Molecule: ribosomal RNA, 558 nt
Filed under: Triticum aestivum (bread wheat)
Lineage: Eukaryota; Viridiplantae; Streptophyta; Magnoliopsida; Poales; Poaceae
Description: partial small subunit ribosomal RNA
Source: RNAcentral